This 443-nucleotide ribosomal RNA is filed under the name uncultured bacterium. RNAcentral's name for it is "partial 16S ribosomal RNA". It matches the Rfam family "Bacterial small subunit ribosomal RNA", at positions 338 to 795 of the family's 1533-position model. The record is from RNAcentral.
CCUACGGGUGGCUGCAGUGGGGAAUAUUUGGCAAUGGGCGCAAGCCUGACCCAGCAACGCCGCGUGAAGGAAGAAGGCUUUCGGGUUGUAAACUUCCUUUCUGAGGGACGAAGAAAGUGACGGUACCUCAGGAAUAAGCCACGGCUAAUUACGCUCCAGCAGCCGCGGCAAUACGAAGGUGGUAAGCGUUAUACGGAAUUAUCGGGUGGAAAGGGCGUGUAGGCGGGAAAGCAAGUAGGAUGUGAAAACUGCGGGCGCAACCCUUGGCCUGCAUUUGAAACUGUGUUUCUUGAGUGCUGGAGAGGCAAUCGGAAUUCUGGGUGUAGCAGUGAAAUGCGUAGAUAUACGGAGGAACACCAGUGGCGAAGGCGGAUUGCUGGACAGUAACUGACGCUGAGGCGCGAAAGCGUGGGGAGCGAACAGGAUUAGAUACCCGAGUAGUC